Molecule: non-coding RNA, 738 nt
Organism: Mustela lutreola (European mink)
Lineage: Eukaryota; Metazoa; Chordata; Mammalia; Carnivora; Mustelidae
Source: the annotation of a RefSeq genome assembly
GGCUGGGCUGACACUGGAUGGACCCCAUUUGCAUGGACAGCCCUGCCUCUGGCACAGGGUGGAGGAGAAAAGGAGGCCUGGGGCAGACCAGCCAGGGUCUGUGUCACCAUGGCCUGGAUUCCUGUCCUCCUCAUGCUCCUGUCUCUCUGCACAGGAUCUUUGGCCCAGCCUGUGCUGACCCAGCCGGCCUCACUCUCCGCAUCUCCGGGAACAACAGCCAGACUCACCUGCACCUUGAGCAGGGAUAUCAGUGUUGGUAGUAAAUACAUGAACUGGUACCAGCAGAAGCCAGGGACCCCUCCCAGGUAUCUCCUGUACUACUACUCAGACUCAAGUACACAGCUGGGACCUGGGAUUCCCAGUCGCUUCUCUGGCUCCAAGGAUACCUCAGCCAAUGCAGGGAUUCUGCUCAUCUCUGGGCUGCAGCCUGAGGACGAGGCUGACUAUUACUGUGCAGUGUGGCACAGUGGUGCUGGUCACCGUGACACACAGAUAUGGGGAAGUGGGACAAAUACCUCAGCCUGCUCACAACAUUGCACUCUGACUCUCUUCCAAAUUAAAAUAACUAGACCUGAAGCUGAGGUUGAUUAUUACUGCUCAGCAUGGGACCACAGCAUCAACAAGGACACAGAGCUGCUGGACCAUGGUGACCUGGUACAGAAAGCUGCUCCUAUUCCCCAUGUCACUGCCUGUGACAAACAGGGAGACUGUGGAGACCCUGGAAGCCUGAGUGCAUGA